RNAcentral lists this ribosomal RNA (405 nucleotides) under uncultured Methylobacterium sp. RNAcentral's name for it is "bacterial SSU rRNA". It matches the Rfam family "Bacterial small subunit ribosomal RNA", at positions 354 to 776 of the family's 1533-position model. Lineage: Bacteria; Pseudomonadati; Pseudomonadota; Alphaproteobacteria; Hyphomicrobiales; Methylobacteriaceae. The record is from RNAcentral.
GUGGGGAAUAUUGGACAAUGGGCGCAAGCCUGAUCCAGCCAUGCCGCGUGAGUGAUGAAGGCCUUAGGGUUGUAAAGCUCUUUUACCCGGGACGAUAAUGACGGUACCGGGAGAAUAAGCCCCGGCUAACUUCGUGCCAGCAGCCGCGGUAAUACGAAGGGGGCUAGCGUUGCUCGGAAUCACUGGGCGUAAAGGGCGCGUAGGCGGCCUGACAAGUCGGGGGUGAAAGCCUGUGGCUCAACCACAGAAUUGCCUUCGAUACUGUCGGGCUUGAGACCGGAAGAGGACAGCGGAACUGCGAGUGUAGAGGUGAAAUUCGUAGAUAUUCGCAAGAACACCAGUGGCGAAGGCGGCUGUCUGGUCCGGUUCUGACGCUGAGGCGCGAAAGCGUGGGGAGCAAACAGG